Molecule: ribosomal RNA, 497 nt
Filed under: uncultured bacterium
Lineage: Bacteria
Description: partial 16S ribosomal RNA
Rfam family: Bacterial small subunit ribosomal RNA
Source: RNAcentral
GAUGAACGCUGGCGGCGUGCCUAAUACAUGCAAGUCGAGCGAACAGACGAGGAGCUUGCUCCUUUGACGUUAGCGGCGGACGGGUGAGUAACACGUAGGUAACCUACCUAUAAGACUGGGAUAACUUCGGGAAACCGGAGCUAAUACCGGAUAAUAUUUCGAACCGCAUGGUUCGAUAGUGAAAGAUGGCUUUGCUAUCACUUAUAGAUGGACCUGCGCCGUAUUAGCUAGUUGGUAAGGUAACGGCUUACCAAGGCAACGAUACGUAGCCGACCUGAGAGGGUGAUCGGCCACACUGGAACUGAGACACGGUCCAGACUCCUACGGGAGGCAGCAGUAGGGAAUCUUCCGCAAUGGGCGAAAGCCUGACGGAGCAACGCCGCGUGAGUGGUGAAGGUCUUCGGAUCGUAAAACUCUGUUAUUAGGGAAGAACAAACGUGUAAGUAACUGUGCACGUCUUGACGGUACCUAAUCAGAAAGCCACGGCUAACUACGUG